UGCUACCUGUUUUACAGGCCAGUCUAUCAGCCUUGAGCCGAUAAACACAUUAUCGGAAGUUAAACUUUAUCUAGGUAUGCAGGCUCGUUUACGAGAAGCUCGAAGGAUAAACGAAACUCCCACUUGGUUCUUGAGGGUUCAAGAGCCCUGAGGACAGCGGUAAUUACGGGUAGCUC
This 176-nucleotide non-coding RNA is filed under the name Francisellaceae bacterium. Its description in RNAcentral is "6S RNA". It matches the Rfam family "6S / SsrS RNA". From Rfam's summary of the family: E. coli 6S RNA was the first non coding RNA to be sequenced, but its function was unknown until recently. Lineage: Bacteria; Pseudomonadati; Pseudomonadota; Gammaproteobacteria; Thiotrichales; Francisellaceae. The record is from RNAcentral.